RNAcentral lists this ribosomal RNA (2485 nucleotides) under Agathobacter rectalis. Its description in RNAcentral is "partial 23S ribosomal RNA". It matches the Rfam family "Bacterial large subunit ribosomal RNA", at positions 396 to 2912 of the family's 2925-position model. Lineage: Bacteria; Bacillati; Bacillota; Clostridia; Lachnospirales; Lachnospiraceae. The record is from RNAcentral.
CUGAGCGGAAUCCAGAGUACAUCGAGACACGAGAAACCUUGAUGGAAAGAGCGGGGACCACCCCGUAAGCCUAAAUACUACUUAGUGACCGAUAGCGCAUAGUACUGUGAAGGAAAGGUGAAAAGGACCCCGGGAGGGGAGUGAAAGAGAACCUGAAACCCUGUGUUUACAAGCUGUGGAAGUUCUUUAAAUGAACAACCGCGUACUUUUUGUAGAACGGUCCGGCGAGUUGCGGAUACUGGCAAGGUUAAGCACUUAAGGUGCGGAGCCGAAGGGAUACCAAGUCUUAACAGGGCGUUAAGUCAGUAUACGCAGACCCGAAACCGGGUGAUCUAUCCAUGUCCAGGUUGAAGUUGUCGUAAAAGACAAUGGAGGACCGAAGCCACAUCCGUUGAAAAGGGUGGGCAUGAGGUGUGGAUAGGGGAGAAAUUCCAAUCGAACCCGGAGAUAGCUGGUUCUCCUCGAAAUAGCUUUAGGGCUAGCCUCGAUUUAGUCUUAUGGAGGUAGAGCACUGAAUUUCCGCGGGGGCGUCAAAGCUUACCAAAGAAUAUCAAACUCCGAAUGCCAUGUAGAUGAUGAUCGGGAGUCAGACUGCACGAGAUAAGUUGGGCAGUCAAAAGGGAAAGAGCCCAGACCACCGGCUAAGGUCCCAAAGUGCGUGUUAAGUGGAAAAGGAUGUGGGAAUUCGAAGACAACUAGGAUGUUGGCUCAGAAGCAGCCAUACAUUCAAAGAGUGCGUAACAGCUCACUAGUCGAGAGUUCCUGCGCCGAAAAUGUCCGGGGCUGAAACACGACACCGAAGCCGUGGACUCGCAAUGCGAGUGGUAGAGGAGCAUUCUUAAAACCGACGAAGCUGUACCGAAAGGAGCAGUGGAGGGAUAAGAAGAGAGAAUGCCGGAAUGAGUAGCGAGAGAAAGGUGGGAAUCCUUUCGGCCGAAUAUCUAAGGUUUCCAGAGUAAAGCUGAUCUGCUCUGGGUAAGUCGGGGCCUAAGCACAGGUCGCAAGACGUAAGCGAUGGAUAACAGGUUUAGAUUCCUGUACCACGCAUUAUCAGAACUGUAGGGACGCAUGUGGAAAGCACGAGCCGGGAAUGGAAAGACCGGUACAAGCGGGGUAGGUGUACAAUAGGCAAAUCCGUUGUAUAAUCCGAAGACGUGAUGUGGAGCGAAAUAAAGUAGUGAAGCGUGUGAGCCAUGUGCCGAGAAAAGCUGCUAUUGUGUAAUGCGUGCCCGUACCGUAAACCGACACAGGUGGAUGAGGAGAGAAUCCUAAGGCCGACGGAAGAAGCAUUGUUAAGGAAUUCGGCAAAAUGACCCCGUAACUUCGGGAGAAGGGGUGCCUGCGAGAGCAGGCCGCAGAGAAUAGGCUCAAGCAACUGUUUAGCAAAAACACAGGUCUAUGCGAAACCGAAAGGUGAAGUAUAUGGGCUGACGCCUGCCCGGUGCUGGAAGGUUAAGAGGAGAGGUUAGCGUAAGCGAAGCUUUGAAUUUAAGCCCCAGUAAACGGCGGCCGUAACUAUAACGGUCCUAAGGUAGCGAAAUUCCUUGUCGGGUAAGUUCCGACCCGCACGAAAGGCGUAAUGAUUUGAGCACUGUCUCGACAAUGCAUCCGGUGAAAUUGAAGUACCAGUGAAGAUGCUGGUUACCCGCGCCAGGACGGAAAGACCCCAUGGAGCUUUACUCCAGUUUGAUACUGGGAUUCGGUACUGCAUGUACAGGAUAGGUGGGAGACGAAGAAGGAUGGACGCCAGUCUGUCCGGAGUCGCUGUUGGGAUACCACCCCUGUAGUACUGGGUUUCUAACCAGUUGCCAUGAACUGGCAAUGGGACAAUGUCAGGCGGGGAGUUUGACUGGGGCGGUCGCCUCCGAAAGGGUAUCGGAGGCGCUCAAAGGUUCCCUCAGAAUGGUUGGAAACCAUUUGAAGAGUGCAAAGGCAGAAGGGAGCUUGACUGCGACACCGACGGGUGGAGCAGGUACGAAAGUAGGACUUAGUGAUCCGGUGGUAUAAAGUGGGAUUGCCAUCGCUCAACGGAUAAAAGCUACCCUGGGGAUAACAGGCUUAUCACUCCCAAGAGUUCACAUCGACGGAGUGGUUUGGCACCUCGAUGUCGGCUCAUCGCAUCCUGGGGCUGUAGCAGGUCCCAAGGGUUGGGCUGUUCGCCCAUUAAAGCGGUACGCGAGCUGGGUUCAGAACGUCGUGAGACAGUUCGGUCCCUAUCCGGCGCGGGCGGAGGAUAUUUGAGAGGAGCUGUCCUUAGUACGAGAGGACCGGGAUGGACGGACCACUGGUGUAUCUGUUGUCGACCAACGGCAUGGCAGAGUAGCCAAGUCUGGAAGGGAUAAACGCUGAAGGCAUCUAAGCGUGAAGCCCCCCUCAAGAUGAGAUAUCCCUCCUUCGGGAGUAAGACCCCUUGAAGACUACAAGGUAGAUAGGGCAGAGGUGGAAGCAUGGCAACAUGUGGAGCUGACUGUUACUAAUAGGUCGA